GCGAGUUCUAUGCAGGCUUUUCCCUUUAUCCUUCGGCUUGUGUAGUGUGUUUCUUCCAAGGAAUUAUUGGGUCACAACCAAACUUAAGCAAUCCCUCCUGCAUAGAGAAAGCAAGCAACUUAAUAAACAGAUGAACAUAUGUAAAGUAGAAAUAUUACAUGCAACUGCAGGGCUCAUGAUGGAAAGAAUACAAAUGAGGAAUCAACUUGUUUAACCAUCCAAAUCUAAUAAAGUAUUUGAAUGCUCUAAACACAGAACAGUGGAAGCAAGGGACCAAUGAACAAUGCUCACCAAAGACAAGUGAUUGUUCUUCUUGUUGCCCAUAAUAUUCACUUUUCUACUAGAGGAACAUUUUUAGCUUGUCAUUUAAGCCUUUCUUUCAAUUGCAUGAUGAUCUGCACAUGAUUCAUAGGCUUGUUGCUGAUUUCUUCCAAUUUUAAAACUAUUGAUGUGAUGCUCACAUAGAUGAGCUCCGUAAUUUGUCUACGGAACCUGGUAACACAAUUUCUACUCUUUUGAUCACAGAUAUGCUCAUGUAUAAUUUUUUUCUAGAAGGACUAUGUUCUUUUCUAUUAACUUCAUGAAGUUGUAUUAUGGAUUAUGAUACCUUAUAUCCUUAUAAAAGAUGCAAGUUCUUUUCUUGCCAAGGAAGCCUUUUUCUUUGCUUCAACACAUCUUGAAAUAGCCUGAUAAUAUACACAAAAUGGGCACAAAAAGUUUCCUUCUGCAUCAAUCUGACAAGUAGUUAGGCAGCUUUCAUGAACCAUAAUUGGACAAGUAGUUUUUCUACAAACAAGCAAUUUACCGCCUUCUUUACACUUCAUACAACAUUAUUUUCUGCCAGCCUAGUACUUGUUGAGAUAUCAUGUCCAGAAGUGCAGUGAGAGCUCAAUAAUUCGCAUCACUUAAUAUCACUGCCCCACCAGCUUUAUCAUCUGCAGCAUUAGGUUCCUUCCCUUGAGCACCUGUUUUUCUUUUAGAUUGCAAUUCAUGAAUUACAUUGAGUGCCUUAUGUGCAGUAUUGUCUCCGUUUUCAGGAAUAACUUCGUUUGUGAAUUGUGAGCAGAACUUUUGUUUUAACUGGUUCAUCUUUUUGUUGCUGACAGUAUUCAAUGUCAGAUGUAUGCUUCAUACUGAUUGAAGCUUGUGGCUCACCAUGAGAGACUUCAUUCUGGUUACUGGAUUUACACCGAAUGGAAGCAAGGUGCUGAUCAUGACUACCCUCUUCAGACACCACUCCCAGAUUUUCCCGGACAUCCUUGUCGGUAUGAUUUUCUAUUACCUGUUUUCCAUGGGGAGGGACUGACUUCUCUUUGUUGGAAUCAACAUUUAAAAGUGAAUUACAUCUACUCUUCUUUACAUUUACUUCAUCACAUUCACUAAUAUCAACUUGCUUUCCGAGUUGGUAUCUCAUCACAUGCUCAUCAGCCGACUCAGCCCUGUUCCUCUUGCUGGGUAUAAUCUUAUCAAGUAAAGACUCUUUCGAUGAUUCAUUCACCUUCUCUAAAAUUGCAAACAUUGGGUUCUCUUUUGCUCCCAUGUUUUCACAAUAAUUGUGAUUCCCAUUAUCUCUUUUCCUAAGAUCAUCGCGGACGUUGUCAUUGACAUGCACUGUAUUCUCAUUCUGAUGUAGCAAUCCACUAAUGUCUCUUAAAUGAUCGGCAUAUGGAUGAGUACCUGCAGUGAUUGAUUCUUUUAGCUAUUUGACAAGAAAGAAGGGAAACCAACCAAUAAGAAUGGUAAAAAAAGAAAAAAUGUAUUAAACUCAUAAGCGAAAACAACAGAAACACAUUCUUAUUUUCUUAAGUAACUUUGAAUCACCUGCUGUAAGUCACAUUUGAUAGUGCCUCUUUUAUGCAUAAUAAAUUGGAAAACAUUCCAUUUCAAAAGCUUAGCUCAAUCCAUUUCUAAAUUGGGUAAUGGUAUCUGAUUUUGUUUUCCCAAAAGAAAUAGUCCAUUAAUUAGCAUAAUGAUAAAGCUAUCAUCAUAAAACAUAUCCAACAAAAUAAUUAACUAGUAAACAAAUUGCUUUACACAAUUUUACCUCAUCCAGUAUUUUUUGGAGGACAUCUUCACAACUGCUAGAAAAAUCAACCGAACUCUUGAAUCCAGGCCAGCUGAUGUAGCUUCAUCACAACCAACUCUAUGAGCAGAAUCGAAAAUUUCCUCCAAACAUCUAAGAGCAAUCAAUUCCCUUGUCUUUCCACAAAAAUCAGCUCGCGCAACAGGGGCCGCACGAAUCAAAGCUGGCGAACAAAAAGAAAAGAAACACAAUCAUGAAUCAUCAAUUUUCAGAAUCCAAAACAAAAAGAAGCUCCUAAAAUAAGGAUGGCUAGCCAAGUCAAGUGAGCUGUUUCAGUUUACAUUUUGAAUUUAUAUUCAUAUCAUUUCAUAAUCAAAAGUAAAUCAUCAUUGUCUUGACAAAAUUCAAAAGCAGUAAUUAAGAUGAAGAAAAAAAAAAGAAAUCAGUAAAACUAUCAUUAUACUGAAGAAACAGUUCAAGUGUUACAAUUAGUUACAUCUUUUUUUAUUCCAAUUGCAGUAACUGUAUCAAGAAACCGAGUCCUCAACGAAAUUUAGUAGCGCAAGCAAAAAAAAAGUUAAUAAAAUCGAGUAAUUUAAAAAAAAAAAAUCUAGUGAGAAAGAAAAAGAACGUACUUGAGAAUCGAUAGAUGCGGAGGUUUAAGUGGUGCUGAAAUCUUCAAGAGAAAGAGAAUGAGAAGGAGAAGAAGCCAUCGAUGAUUCCAUCAACUAGUUUAACCCAAUUUUCUGAAAACCGGUUCGAACCUGCCGGUCGAACCGGUUGAACCGCAAACCGAUGAAAAUUACGGUUCGGUUAUAUUUUAAAGCCAAAAAAAAUGAAAACCAACCUAAAAAAGCCAAAACGCACCCGUUUAGCAUUAUGAUUCACUAACCAGUAACCUCCCUAACCCUUACCAACCCUCACUCACUCCAGAUCUCCAACGGUGCAUCAGCAGUAGCACACACUCCCUCCGUCGUCCCUCUCAUCACCCUCAAGCUGGCCGUUUCUCUCAACGCCGGUGAGAUCAGUCCCUCCCUUUCGUUCAACCGCCGGACUGGUCUUGAUGCCAUCGCAAGUUCGGGCUUCGAAGCUCACUCAGUCCCUCAUUUCUGUUCGUGCAGCUAACGUCUCAGACUCUCAGCAGUGGAGCCUCCUGCCUCCGUCACGAAGCUCUCUUCCACAGUCCUCGGCGCCAUCUCUAUUCUUCCGUCGCAAGCUCUGUUCCUGCCUCUGUCGUCAGCUCUAUUCUAUGCUUCAUUGCUUCUAACCAAGGUUCUGAAAACUGGACCGGACUGGCCAAUUUAACCGCAAAUCAGUCACCUGGUCGAUCCAGUUGAGCCUCAAAACCGUCCUAUAAAAAAUCGGUUGAAUCAGUGGUUAACCGGUGAACCAAACGAACCGGUCGGGUUUUUAAUGGCACCGGUUUUUUAUUGUUGGUCUGAAACAACGCCGUUUUGACGCGUUAAAAAAAAAUGAAAACCCAUUACUGAACAUCUAAACCCACGUAGCCCCAGCCCCAUUUGUUCAGUCCCUCACCUCACCACACCUCAUCCCUAAUUCCUCUUCCAAUCUUCCUCCAACUCCAACGAAGAGCAGCCGCCACCCAGCCACCAUCACCGCUAUCCACUCCUCACCGUGGGUCGUCGGUGCUUCUCCCCUCCUCGCCCUGCUCCUCAUCGUUUCUGGCUGUCACUUCUUCUCUGCUUCCCGUUAGUCUUCCCGUUGCUGCCUCUUCGCUCCGCACCGUCUCCCGUCAUCGUUGCAUACGUUGCUUCUCCUUGCCGUCGUCGUCUCUCAAAGAUCUGCUUGGAGCUGUUGGCGUCGCAGUCUCCGUCAUCGUCGUCUUCGAGCCCUCUCACUCCUUCUCUUUCUGUCCGAGCUGAAUUUCCUUCCUCCCUGGCCGUCACUUCCCUUCCUCCCUCAUUGCCAGUAAGCGCUGCUCCUUCAAUUUAUGGUGUUGCUGAUUUUCUAAAAUAAUGGUUGAUGGUUAAUUUGAAUGAUUCUGUUAAAUUUUUUUUUGUUGAGUUAAUUUUGUUGAUGGAAUUCUGAGUUGGGGUUGAUGGUUGAUUUUAACAGUGCUUGUUAAUUUUGUUAAUUUUGUGUUCUGAGUUGGGGGUUGUUGUUGAUGUGAUUCUGAAUUUAAUUUGGAUGCUCAGUAUGAAUUCUUUGUUUAGUUUUUCUAUUUUUGGAUUUUCUGAUUUUGGAUGCUGAGUUCUCUGUGUUUGGAUUCGAGUUUUUAUUGUUGAAUACUUGAUUAGAAGUUUUUGUUAAAAUUUUUUGUGAUUCUAAAUUCUUUGUUGCUGGUGGGUUGAGUUUCUAUGUAAGUUUGUUAUUCUGAAUUUUUUUUGUGAUUCUUGAAUAUGAUCUUUGGGUUCUGGCCUCCAAAAGCAAGAAGUGUAUGUUGUUGCCAAGGCUGUGAUUAGAGGUAAAGGAAUUGCUUUGAGAUGAUGAACCUGGAUAGGAGAAUUAUGUAGCACCAGUUUAUUGUUGUGCAAGAAGUCAGAGAGAGUGAAAGAGAAUUUGAGAAUGAAAAAAGAAAUUGAUUUAAUUAUGAUUUGUAGGUCUCUUUUACACUGAAAUAUACAAAUAUUUAUAAUAAGUUGCUUUAGUUUCUAUAAUAUCUACAUGUAUAUUAAAUUUUAAUAAUUUUAUUAUAUAUUUAAUUAAAACGGUUCAACUACGGUUCCACACCGGUUGAACCAUUGAACCGGUCACUUGACUGGUUCGGUUCUUGCAACCUUGCUUCUAGCUUCUAGGUAUUUUUUUUAACAAUAAUUGCUGAAUAAUUUGUGAACUUAUGGGGUAAAUAAUUGUUAAUUAAUCUGUGAAUUACUAGGUUGAAUAAUUGUUGAAUAAUUGUUCAUUGUUCCGAAAGUCCAAAGAAAUAAGAAGCUUCUAGGUAUUUUUUUUAACAAUAAUUGCUGAAUAAUUUGUGAACUUAUGGGGUAAAUAAUUGUUAAUUAAUCUGUGAAUUACUAGGUUGAAUAAUUGUUGAAUAAUUGUUCAUUGUUCCGAAAGUCCAAAGAAAUAAGAAGCGGCGAAACAAAACGAUGUCGUACGACGACGUUGAGAUCGAGGACAUGGAGUGGAACAAGGAGCUUCAGGCGUACACGUACCCUUGCCCCUGCGGCGACCUCUUUCAGAUCACCAAGGACGAUUUGAAACUCGGCGAGGAAAUCGCUCGCUGCCCUAGCUGCUCCCUCUACAUCACCGUCAUCUACAACAUCGAAGAUUUCUCCGAUCACAAUCGCAGCAACAAACCUCUCCAACCUUCAAAUCCCCAAUCCCUCACCGUUGCUUGAAUUUUCAGGUUACUAUCCCUGUUUCCUCAUAUCGAUUUUCCUUUCUGUUGCCGCUCAGCUUAAUUGCACUAUUUUUUGCACUAAUCUGAGUGUUUACUUUAUGUAUCAACUUUUCUUUCUUUUUUUCUUUGUAAUAAUUUGUUGAGUAGUAUAUUAGAGAUAGAAAGAGAAUCCUUUGGCUAAAGUUAUGUAACUUAGAGAUGAAAUUUAUCACCUUUGUCUUUGUAUCGUGUUUACUUUUAAUCCCUAACCCUAAAUCAACAUAUAGUGUGUCUUAUAUAUACGUUUGUUGGAGUAUUAUUGCUAUGUGAUAUAGCUGAUAGGUAUAUUCACUCACUUUGCAAUUUGCAUAUCAUACCUCCCCCACCAUUGGUUUUGGUGUUGCCAGCCAUGCUCACAUGUUGGACUGCAUAUAGAACUUAGAAGAACUGAAGAAGUAUGGGGUAUAUGUGAGCUUUUCACAAAAUAAGGGGGUGUUGAAUUAGUGAAUUACCGUUUAAGUUUUACCCACAUUGAUUUGAGAAUAGGUUUGUGACUGAGCUUCUUUUCAAGUAAUCAAUGGGAAUCUAUUCUCAUUAGUACUAGUUUGUCAUAUGCUAAAUUCUGAUGCACUGAUCACUAAUUCUAUGCAUAGAAUAGAUUAUCACUUGCUAACAAAUCUAUGGUUCCCCCUUUCUUUUUGGGUCUAAUAAUGCCUGUUCCCUGUUGUUGACUAUGAAUUGUGUUCAUUACUAUGACACUUCACUUCUUUUUAGUUCCCUUCUGCCAUGUUUAUGCCUGUUUCAUUUGGUCUCGAGUUUACAUUGGGAUAUAGAUUUCAAGGAAGUGAAAGUCAAAGGAAUACGCUUGAUUUGAAUGUAUUGUAUUUAUACUGAGAAUGUUGCAUAUUAGUGCUCUUGUGAAUGACGGACCUUCUUUUGUAUAAAUGACUAAAAUUGUGUAAAACCACUAUAUUGCAGGUGUCCUGGAAUGGAGGCCGGAACAAGUUUUGUCACAGCUUUUGACUUAUUGUAGCAUGCACAGCACAGGUCUUGCUUUGCAUAUCGGAAUUCUUGUUAUUUGAAAUGAGAAGGGAGAGAUAAGCGACACCAGAGAUUAUAUAUAGUACAGAAAGAGCGCUAUUAUUUCUGUAUCAUUGUUAUGUGGGAAACUAGCUUAAGCUUUAGUUAUUGAACUUGGUUGAACUUUUUUUGAUAGGACAUCGAUUCUUAUAAAAUAAAUCAUCAUUGGUAUAUUUAUGAACCUUUUAUUUUAUUUUGGAGCUUAUUCAUUAUUCUAUGCUAUAGCUGCUCAGUAGCAUAAAUGGGCGAAAACUUUGGUGCAGCAGUUAUUUGACCAUGUGAUUAGUCAAUGUGUUUGUCCUAUCAACUAGGUACCUUUUGGCAAUGUUAGUAGUUAACUAGAUUUAUAACUUAAUUAUUUGGUAACCAUGGUGUACUUAUUGUUUGUCCCAUACGAACUCAUAAUAUAAGCAAGUGAAAUAUUCUGAAUAGAGUGACGAUGAUAAGGGCCAAAUUAAUAGCCUUUAGUUAUACCCACGUCAAUAUCAUUCUACGCUUAUCAAAUUCUUAGGGAAAAGUAGUCUCUACGAUUCUUGGAACUGUCAUGUUGAUUAAAUAGUGAAUUUUAUUUCCAGUAAUCAACAUGGCAAUUCCGGGAAUCAUAGAGACUACUUUUCUUAUAUCAUGCUUUCCGAAGAUAGUGCUUAGGCUUGGACCUUACAAUAUAUUUAUAUAUAAGUAUUUAACUUUCAACUUUUGGAAGAGUGCUACAAAAAAUGAAAGAAUUAUACUUACAAAGAUGAACAACUAUACUAAUAUUAAAAAGAUUAAGCCUAUUCCAUCAAAAAAUAAAAGCAGCCUGGUCAUUUCAAUUUUGGGCGAGUUCUAUGCAGGCUUUCCCCUUUAUCCUUCAGCUUGUGUAGUGUGUGUUUCUGACUUCUUAAUUAUCAUUCUCAAAUACAUUAGAACAGAAUGUAGAAGGUUUCUUCCAAGGAAUUAUUGGGUCACAACCAAACUUAAGCAAUCCCUCCUGCAUAGAGAAAGCACGCAACUUAAUAAACAGAUGAACAUAUGUAGAAAUAUUACAUGCAACUGCAGGGCUCAUGAUGGAAAGAAUACAAAUGAGGAAUCAACUUGUUUAACCAUCCAAAUCUAAUAAAGUAUUUGAAUGCUCU
RNAcentral lists this long non-coding RNA (7501 nucleotides) under Arachis ipaensis. RNAcentral's name for it is "long non-coding RNA (AIPA_LNC001383)". The record is from RNAcentral. Lineage: Eukaryota; Viridiplantae; Streptophyta; Magnoliopsida; Fabales; Fabaceae.